This 346-nucleotide ribosomal RNA is filed under the name uncultured organism. RNAcentral's name for it is "bacterial SSU rRNA". It matches the Rfam family "Bacterial small subunit ribosomal RNA", at positions 348 to 683 of the family's 1533-position model. The record is from RNAcentral.
UCACCAGGCGCGAAUUUUUCUCAAUGGGGGAAACCCUGAAGGAGCGACGCCGCGUGGAGGAUGAAGGUCUUCGGAUUGUAAACUCCUGUCAUUUGGGAACAAGUUGCAUCGGUUAACUGCCGAUGCAUUGAUAGUACCAGAAGAGGAAGAGACGGCUAACUCUGUGCCAGCAGCCGCGGUAAUACAGAGGUCUCAAGCGUUGUUCGGAUUCAUUGGGCGUAAAGGGUGCGUAGGUGGCGGGGUAAGGUCUGGUGUGAAAUCUCGGGGCGUCAACCCCGAAACCUAGCACUGGAUACUGCCUUGCUCGAGUACUGGAGAGGAGAUUGGAAUUUACGGUGUAGCAGUG